GACGAACGCUGGCGGCGUGCUUAACACAUGCAAGUCGAACGGAAAGGCCUCUUUGGGGGUACUCGAGUGGCGAACGGGUGAGUAACACGUGAGUAACCUGCCCUUGACUUCGGGAUAACUUCAGGAAACUGGGGCUAAUACCGGAUAGGAAUCCUUGCUGCAUGGUGGGGGUUGGAAAGCUUCGGCGGUUUUGGAUGGACUCGCGGCUUAUCAGCUUGUUGGUGGGGUAGUGGCUUACCAAGGCUUUGACGGGUAGCCGGCCUGAGAGGGCGACCGGCCACAUUGGGACUGAGAUACGGCCCAGACUCCUACGGGAGGCAGCGGUGGGGAAUAUUGCACAAUGGGCGGAAGCCUGAUGCAGCAACGCCGCGUGCGGGAUGACGGCCUUCGGGUUGUAAACCGCUUUCAGCAGGGGCGAAGCUUGUGGUGACGGUACCUGCAGAAGAAGCACCGGCUAACUACGUG
This 465-nucleotide ribosomal RNA is filed under the name uncultured bacterium. RNAcentral's name for it is "partial 16S ribosomal RNA". It matches the Rfam family "Bacterial small subunit ribosomal RNA", at positions 28 to 507 of the family's 1533-position model. The record is from RNAcentral.